RNAcentral lists this ribosomal RNA (447 nucleotides) under uncultured bacterium. RNAcentral's name for it is "partial 16S ribosomal RNA". It matches the Rfam family "Bacterial small subunit ribosomal RNA", at positions 329 to 792 of the family's 1533-position model. The record is from RNAcentral.
UUCCAGACUCCUACGGGAGGCAGCAGUGGGGAAUAUUGCACAAUGGGGGAAACCCUGAUGCAGCGACGCCGCGUGAGCGAGGAAGUAUUUCGGUAUGUAAAGCUCUGUCAGCAGGGAAGAAGAAUGACGGUACCUGAAGAAGAAGCACCGGCUAAAUACGUGCCAGCAGCCGCGGUAAUACGUAUGGUGCAAGCGUUAUCCGGAUUUACUGGGUGUAAAGGGAGCGCAGGCGGUUCUGCAAGUCUGAUGUGAAAGCCCGGGGCUCAACCGCGGGACUGCAUUGGAAACUGCGGGACUGGAGUGUCGGAGGGGUAAGUGGAAUUCCUGGUGUAGCGGUGAAAUGCGUAGAUAUCAGGAGGAACACCGGUGGCGAAGGCGGCUUACUGGACGACAACUGACGGUGAGGCGCGAAAGCGUGGGGAGCAAACAGGAUUAGAUACCCGAGUA